Long non-coding RNA from Bos taurus (domestic cattle), 664 nucleotides. Lineage: Eukaryota; Metazoa; Chordata; Mammalia; Artiodactyla; Bovidae. The record is from Ensembl.
AUCCUUUGUUGUCUGAUGUUCAAAAUCUUGCAAGCUGUUCUUUCAUUUAUUUCAUCUUGAUUUAGUUGUUUCAGGUUGGAGGGUAAAUAUCUAUAAGAAGUUGAAGGUCCUAAGAGACUUCUCUCCUUGAGAUACCCUCCUCAUUUGUCUUCCAUAGAAUUUAUAUAUUCUGCUUUUACCUGUUACCUCUGGCUGUUUCUUCUCCAUCUUUCAAAUCUGUAACCCCUAAAGCAGUGGUAAAGAAUCUGCCUGCCAAUCAGGAGGCACAAAAGAUGCAUGUUCAAUACCUUGGUGGGGAAGAUCCCCUGGAAGAGGGCAUGGCAACCCACUCCAGUAUUCUUACCUGGAGAAGAUAUUAAAAGAUAUUCUUGUCUGGAUUUCUGGAGCUUAGAAGCCCAAGAUCAAGGUGCUGGAAAAUUCUGUUUCUGGUCACAAGUUCCAUUCUGGGUGACGUCUGAGAUCCUGACUCAGGAUGUAAACUAGGAGGGUCCAGGUCAUGGUGACAGUAACCGAAAGUACAUCAUGAGAAAUGCUGGACUGAAUGAAGCACAAGCUGCAAUCAAGAUUGCUGGGAAAAAUAUCAAAACCCUCAGAUAUGCAGAUGACACCAUAACUUUUCUCUCAAGGAGUGGCAAGAUACAGCAAGGAACAGAUAGCCAUGAUG